This 81-nucleotide transfer RNA is filed under the name Bacteriophage sp. RNAcentral's name for it is "tRNA-Tyr". It matches the Rfam family "tRNA". Rfam says of the family: Transfer RNA (tRNA) molecules are approximately 80 nucleotides in length. Their secondary structure includes four short double-helical elements and three loops (D, anti-codon, and T loops). The record is from RNAcentral.
UGGCAGAUAUGCAAGUGGUCAAAGCAAGCCGACUGUAAAUCGGUUCCAAAUGGUUCGUGGGUUCGAAUCCCACCAUGCCAA